Molecule: non-coding RNA, 148 nt
Filed under: Rhodococcoides kyotonense
Lineage: Bacteria; Bacillati; Actinomycetota; Actinomycetes; Mycobacteriales; Nocardiaceae
Description: Rhodococcus kyotonensis Bacterial small subunit ribosomal RNA
Rfam family: Bacterial small subunit ribosomal RNA
Source: Rfam by way of RNAcentral
AGCGCCCGUCACGUCAUGAAAGUCGGUAACACCCGAAGCCGGUGGCCUAACCCCUUGUGGGAGGGAGCCGUCGAAGGUGGGAUCGGCGAUUGGGACGAAGUCGUAACAAGGUAGCCGUACCGGAAGGUGCGGCUGGAUCACCUCCUUU